AUAAUAAUAUAUAUAAUAGGAGAAAUAUAUAUAAUAAUUUUUUAUAAAUAAUAUAAUAAUUAUUAUAUAUUAAUAAUAUAUAUAAUAAAAAAUAUAUUAAAUAGUUUUUUAUCUUUUUUUUUUCUUUCAACCAAAUGACCGUAAUGAAAAAUUAUUUUUCUUUUCCUACAAACCAAAUACUAAACAACGUUUUUUUUCCACCGAAUUUUUUUUUUCCACAGUUUUACGUGGAACCAAACACACCCUUAAGGCCCAUUUGUUUUGAUGUAAGUGGAGUGAUGGAACUCAAGUUCCAUCACUUCCGUUAUUUGUUUUGAUGUAAGUGAAAAAUAUAAUGUAACUCAAGUUACGUUAGACCUCCGCUUCACCUACUCUCGACUUCCUUAUCUAAAGUGCCGAACUCGACUCUCACUACACUCAACCUCCUCUAAAAAAUUUAUUAAACAGUAAAACCUAAACUCUACUUCCUUUAUAAUGGGUUAGAAUUACAUUAUUUAUAAUAAAUUAGGAUUAUCUUUAAAUAAUAAUAAAAAAAUUAAUUAUAUAAUAGAUUAAAUUUUAUAGUGGUAAAUUUACUACUAUAUUUAGGAGAUAAUGAGAUCCACUUACUUACAUCAAAACAAACAACGGAACUCAAAAAACUAAUUUUACCAGCACUAAGUUACAUCAAAACAAACAACAGAAGUGAUUGAAUUUAACUUUCAGGCGGUACAAGCUACGUCAAAACAAAUAACAAAAAAAUAAUCACACUUCAGGAAAACUCAAACACCACUACACUUGAUUUACGUUGAAUUUACAAAUACGUUAAUCCAAACGCCCCCUUAGUCGAAAUGUGUUGAAAAUUAGUUGACAAUGACAAUAUAAAGGGGA
This 870-nucleotide long non-coding RNA is filed under the name Ananas comosus (pineapple). RNAcentral describes it as "long non-coding RNA (ACOM_LNC038649)". The record is from RNAcentral. Lineage: Eukaryota; Viridiplantae; Streptophyta; Magnoliopsida; Poales; Bromeliaceae.